This 71-nucleotide transfer RNA is filed under the name Tanakia himantegus. RNAcentral describes it as "tRNA-Gly". The record is from RNAcentral. Lineage: Eukaryota; Metazoa; Chordata; Actinopteri; Cypriniformes; Acheilognathidae.
AUCUUCCUAGUAUUGGAUUAAUAUAAAUGGCUCCCAAUCAUUUAGUCUUGGUUAAGCUCCAAGAAAAGAUG